CGCCUGUUUAUCAAAAACAUCUUUUCUUGUUAGUUUUUGAAGUAUGGCCUGCCCGCUGACUUUGGUGUUGAAGGGCCGCGGUAUUUUGACCGUGCAAAGGUAGCAUAGUCAUUAGUUCUUUAAUUGUGAUCUGGUAUGAAUGGCUUGACGAGGCAUGGGCUGUCUUAAUUUUGAAUUGUUUAUUGAAUUUGGUCUUUGAGUUAAAAUUCUUAGAUGUUUUUAUGGGACGAGAAGACCCUAUAGAGUUUAACAUUUAUUAUGGUCCCUUUCUGUUUGUGAGGGUUCACUGGGCCGUCUAAUAUGUUUUGUUGGGGUGAUGGGAGGGAUUAAUUUAACCCCUCCUUUUAUUAUUAUAUUUAUUUAUAUUUGCUUGAUCCAUUUAUUUUGAUUGUAAGAUUAAAUUACCUUAGGGAUAACAGCGUAA
Molecule: ribosomal RNA, 424 nt
Filed under: Reticulitermes sp. ALS-2006k
Lineage: Eukaryota; Metazoa; Arthropoda; Insecta; Blattodea; Rhinotermitidae
Description: partial 16S ribosomal RNA
Rfam family: Bacterial large subunit ribosomal RNA
Source: RNAcentral